Tachysurus fulvidraco (yellow catfish) is the source of this 150-nucleotide long non-coding RNA. RefSeq lists it as uncharacterized. Lineage: Eukaryota; Metazoa; Chordata; Actinopteri; Siluriformes; Bagridae. The transcript has 3 exons. The record is from RefSeq and is a predicted model, not a curated record.
UACCCUCACUUCUCUAAACAUAAUAAGUUUCGAAUGUUGAGAAAUAUUACAGUAACAACAAUCCUCAUGUUACUGACAGAUUUACACCUGAUCACUCCGGAGUCACAGAGAGACAGUGGUUUCGAGUCCAGAGCUCUGAAGGAGAACCAC